This 495-nucleotide ribosomal RNA is filed under the name uncultured soil bacterium. RNAcentral describes it as "bacterial SSU rRNA". It matches the Rfam family "Bacterial small subunit ribosomal RNA", at positions 94 to 633 of the family's 1533-position model. The record is from RNAcentral.
UGUGGCAGACGGGUGAGUAACGCGUGGGAACCUGCCCUGUGGUAGGGAAUAACCGCGGGAAACUGCGGCUAAUACCCUAUGUGCUGAGGCAAAGAUUCGCCAUAGGAGGGGCCCGCGUCGGAUUAGGUAGUUGGUGGGGUAACGGCCUACCAAGCCAUCGAUCCGUAGCUGGUCUGAGAGGAUGAUCAGCCACACUGGGACUGAGAGGGGGCCCAGACUCCUACGGGAGGCAGCAGUGGGGAAUAUUGGACAAUGGGGGCAACCCUGAUCCAGCAAUGCCGCGUGGGUGAUGAAGGCCUUCGGGUUGUAAAGCCCUUUCGGCGGGGAAGAUUGACGGUACCCGCAGAAGAAGCCCCGGCUAACUUCGUGCCAGCAGCCGCGGUAAUACGAAGGGGGCUAGCGUUGUUCGGAAUUACUGGGCGUAAAGGGCGCGUAGGCUGUGCUGUAAGUCAGGCGUGAAAGGCCCGGGCUCAACCUGGGAACUGCGCAUGAUAC